CGCUCUCCGGUUUGGAAACGGGUUUUUGAGUUUUGUGUUUGGGAGAGCGCAUGGUGUGAAUCUCAGGGGAAGGCAAAUUGACUUACAGCGCUAAGCCUCCGCCGGACGAUUAUCGACAAGCAGGGACUAAGCUUCGUUGGUUGCUAGGUUUGAUCGUUGCUCACUUGGAAACCAUUCUCACUUCACAGUCCUGCUGUCUCAAACUAGGGCUACGGAAAUCUUUGGAAUCAAAAACAGAAAAAGGUCUUCAAUUUCUUCUAGGAAUAUUUU
RNAcentral lists this long non-coding RNA (270 nucleotides) under Vitis vinifera (wine grape). RNAcentral's name for it is "long non-coding RNA (VVIN_LNC006107)". The record is from RNAcentral. Lineage: Eukaryota; Viridiplantae; Streptophyta; Magnoliopsida; Vitales; Vitaceae.